This 21-nucleotide unclassified non-coding RNA is filed under the name Mus musculus (house mouse). RNAcentral describes it as "oocyte_clustered_small_RNA6604". The record is from RNAcentral. Lineage: Eukaryota; Metazoa; Chordata; Mammalia; Rodentia; Muridae.
UCAUACCCUGCGUUGGUCCUA